Molecule: transfer RNA, 69 nt
Filed under: Triticum aestivum (bread wheat)
Lineage: Eukaryota; Viridiplantae; Streptophyta; Magnoliopsida; Poales; Poaceae
Rfam family: tRNA
About the family: Transfer RNA (tRNA) molecules are approximately 80 nucleotides in length. Their secondary structure includes four short double-helical elements and three loops (D, anti-codon, and T loops). Further hydrogen bonds mediate the characteristic L-shaped molecular structure. tRNAs have two regions of fundamental functional importance: the anti-codon, which is responsible for specific mRNA codon recognition, and the 3' end, to which the tRNAs corresponding amino acid is attached (by aminoacyl-tRNA synthetases). tRNAs cope with the degeneracy of the genetic code in two manners: having more than one tRNA (with a specific anti-codon) for a particular amino acid; and 'wobble' base-pairing, i.e. permitting non-standard base-pairing at the 3rd anti-codon position.
Source: Rfam by way of RNAcentral
CCACUUCUCAGUUCAUAAAGCACAAGGCUCUUAACCUUGUGGACGUGGGUUCAAGCCCCAUGAUGGGGG